GCGAGAUUUUAGUGAAUGGACUGCGGUUCCAGAACGUGAUGCGUUUCCUGACCGUGCUUCCACUGCACCUUUCUUCUUCCGGCGAGUUCAAAGCAUACGGAGUGCGAUGGUGUGUCGUCUUCACCACAGGCACGCGACCUAUGGAUUUCUAAAAUCCACGCCUGCGGUCAUGUUGGACAAAACAGCGAGUGUUUCUGCAGACGUGCCCCGUCCCCCAACGCUCUGCCCACGAGGGCAGGUGCCUGCAAGCCACGUCACACCCACGCGUCUUUCCCGAGGAGCACCAUCUUGGCUCCCGGCCGCACGUGGGCUUUGCAGCGGAACCUGUCCUCAUUCCCAAUGACAGGCGGCUGCUCGCGGCUUCUCAAGGAUAAUCGCAGGCCGCCGGCUCGUCCUCCUGCACGUGCGUGCUCUCACAGCCGGAGACCCAGGUCGACAGCCAACAGCGCCACGGCGGUUUCUGGCCCUAAGAAUUCAGACGCCGCAAGCUGGUAAGAUUCUGCUUUCUCUUGGAAAUUUCAACCAAGAAGAAUUCAAGUCCUGUCUCUGGGCCGAAGUUUCAGAGGGCAGUGACAUUUCCUAAGGUCACACAGAAAACCGAGGCCCUGGUUCCUGACUGUGCUCACGAGGCCACCCACCCCGCAGGUGACGUUCACACGUCCUGACACUUCCCUGGGGUCUUCACAACCUUCAGUGAGAAGAAGACGCAGGCGUACAGAACACUGUCUUUGUGACGUGCUUUCUCCACUCUAAGAAAAGCAUUACCUCCUGAUGGAUUUUACGUGUAGACUGAUUUUCUCAGUCUCAGUGUCAGGGUUCUGGGCUUACUUGCAAACCGGCUUCCUGGUCCGGCCGCAUUCCCCAGGCUGGGUGGUCGCUGUGGACCUGGUGUGUGGGGGGGGUGGCCGGUAGGCUCCGCACAGAGGCACCCGGGUCAUAGCCCCCUGGGUCACCGCGUUCAGAGAUCCGGCAGGGCGUCCACCACCCUGAAUGGGACCACGGCCGAGGGCCGUCUGCUCGCUGCGGAGCACGGCGGCUGUGCUGGGUCACCACAACGCUCCCUUCCCUGGGCUUGGAAUAGGGUUUCAGGGUUGCCCUCGUUUUCACGGCCACAAGAUCCGUG
RNAcentral lists this long non-coding RNA (1123 nucleotides) under Mustela putorius furo (domestic ferret). RNAcentral's name for it is "lncRNA (ENSMPUG00000026763.1)". The record is from RNAcentral. Lineage: Eukaryota; Metazoa; Chordata; Mammalia; Carnivora; Mustelidae.